Non-coding RNA from Paramuricea clavata, 742 nucleotides. The record is from the annotation of a GenBank genome assembly. Lineage: Eukaryota; Metazoa; Cnidaria; Anthozoa; Malacalcyonacea; Plexauridae.
CCCUGCCAGGCUUUCUCUAAGUGUAACAUGUCAUUUUCGACUUCCUCACCUUGAGCAGUCAGUGUGUGCUUGGGUUCUUGAUUGUGCAAUUUAAAAGAUGCUUAAUCAUGACCUUCGCGACUUUUUCUCUCGUUAUGCUCUUAGUCAUUAAAUACAGCCAAUUCAAAAAAGAUUGUCCUUUGCAAACCUUAAACUCUAAACCUUAAGGGACCGGUCAUUAUUUAUGGUGGGGGGUGGCACCGAAGAGAAAUGUUUUUUGUGGCAAAAAUUUUGCUGACCCAACCAUUAAAAAGUCAAAAAUUUGAUUACCCAGCCUCAAAUAUCAAUUAAAAAAUAAAUACCCACCCCUGGCCAAAAACUUUACAAAUUGAAAACCAUUCAGUCGUCACACGUGUCCUUUACCAUUUUUGUGACAUGAGUUCGAUAACGGCUUGUGAAAUUUUCUAAAGUUUCAUGUUGUCUGCAACAAAUCGGACUGAAAUGAUCAAGAUAGUGACUCUGAUUGAUUCACAUAUUGUAUUGACAUAUCACUGUUGACAUUGCUUUUCAGUCUCCAAUAUUUCAGUGAGUCGUGCUUUGGAAAUGACAAUAAAUUUUUUGAUUACCCAACCCUUGAGUUGUUUUGUUUUUCAUUUACCCAACCUUUUACUCACUCAAAAUUUUGUUUACCCAACCCUUUUCUCUUCGGUGCCACCCCUUGCCAUAAAUAAUGACCGCUCCCUAAACUCUAAGCGCGCAAAGC